GUUGUAUAGUCAAGUAAUUAAGUGCAUGUGGUGGAUGCCUUGGCAGUCAGAGGCGAUGAAAGACGUGAUAGCCUGCGAAAAGCUCCGGGGAGGCGGCAAAUAUCCUUUGAUCCGGAGAUGUCUGAAUGGGGGAACCCACCUACUUUAAGGUAGGUAUUGCAACAUGAAUACAUAGUGUUGCAAGGCGAACGAGGGGAAGUGAAACAUCUCAGUACCCUUAGGAAAAGAAAUCAAUUGAGAUUCCCUCAGUAGCGGCGAGCGAACGGGGAUCAGCCCAUUAAGUUAUGUGUGUUUUAGUGGAACGCUCUGGGAAGUGCGAACGUAGAGUGUGAUAUUCCCGUACACGAAAGGGCACACAUAAUGAUGACGAGUAGGGCGAGGCACGUGAAACCUUGUCUGAAUAUGGGGGGACCAUCCUCCAAGGCUAAAUACUCCUGACUGACCGAUAGUGAACCAGUACCGUGAGGGAAAGGCGAAAAGAACCCCUGUGAGGGGAGUGAAAUAGAUCCUGAAACCGCAUGCAUACAAGCAGUGGGAGCACCUUCGUGGUGUGACUGCGUACCUUUUGUAUAAUGGGUCAGCGACUUAUAUUCAGUAGCAAGGUUAACCGUAUAGGGGAGCCGUAGAGAAAUCGAGUCUUAAUAGGGCGUUUAGUUGCUGGGUAUAGACCCGAAACCAGGCGAUCUAUCCAUGAGCAGGUUGAAGGUUGGGUAACACUAACUGGAGGACCGAACCCACUGUCGUUGAAAAGCCAGGGGAUGACUUGUGGAUAGGGGUGAAAGGCUAAUCAAGCCUGGUGAUAGCUGGUUCUCCCCGAAAGCUAUUUAGGUAGCGCCUCGGACGAAUACCAUAGGGGGUAGAGCACUGUUUCGGCUAGGGGGUCAUCCCGACUUACCAAACCGAUGCAAACUCCGAAUACCUAUGAGUACUAUCCGGGAGACAGACUGCGGGUGCUAACGUCCGUAGUCAAGAGGAAAACAAUCCAGACCGCCAGCUAAGGCCCCAAAAUCAUAGUUAAGUGGGAAACGAUGUGGGAAGGCAUAGACAGCUAGGAGGUUGGCUUAGAAGCAGCCACCCUUUAAAGAAAGCGUAAUAGCUCACUAGUCGAGUCGGCCUGCGCGGAAGAUGUAACGGGGCUAAAACUAUGUGCCGAAGCUGCGGAU
This 1163-nucleotide ribosomal RNA is filed under the name Acinetobacter baumannii. Its description in RNAcentral is "bacterial LSU rRNA". It matches the Rfam family "Bacterial large subunit ribosomal RNA", at positions 1 to 1207 of the family's 2925-position model. The record is from RNAcentral. Lineage: Bacteria; Pseudomonadati; Pseudomonadota; Gammaproteobacteria; Moraxellales; Moraxellaceae.